Molecule: long non-coding RNA, 224 nt
Filed under: Ficedula albicollis (Collared flycatcher)
Lineage: Eukaryota; Metazoa; Chordata; Aves; Passeriformes; Muscicapidae
Description: lncRNA (ENSFALG00000027276.1)
Source: RNAcentral
AAUUAACCACAGAUUAUUUGACUCUCAGCUAAAGCAAUUACAAAUAUUAAAAUUACAUUUCAACCACUGAGAUAGUCUUUAAUUUUCACUGUACUGUCUACUUUCCACAGCAACGCACCUUUUGGGGCAGAACAUCUUCCUUCGCUAUGUUCUGUGGAGCCACUAGGUGUCCCUCGUUCCUACAUAAAGCUCCAGGAACAAUACUAAGGGGAAAGAAGUAGCCU